AUGUGUGACACCGGCGGCUUGGAAGGCCUUUGGCAUGCCUCCUUCCAAGAGGCUGAAGAGAUUCCUGCUGCUGUUGCUGAGUUUCCUCCUCUGUGCCCAAGACACCUACUUUCCCAGGGGAGAAGCAAACACUUCUGGAAGACAAGAAGGCAAAAUGUGCACCAAAGAGCCAACCAUGCCGUGCAAUGCUGUAUUCAAGAUGCUGAGAGCCAGAAUGAAAGAGGGAGCCAGUUCCAACAGGGUGAAGAAAAGGCUGAGCUGGUCCAACUGGUCCAAGAGCAGAAGAAAGUGCUGAGAAUGAAAAGAGAAACCAAGAGAAAAGAUAAACCAAGAGAACCAGGUCUGGGCUUUGGGGACAGCAAGGAUGCUGGACUUGUACCGACUGUCUGUUGAGAUGAUGCCAUACCUCUGCAGUCUGGGGCCACUGGGACUCAUCUAAAGAAAUCUUCACUAGAUUACCAGAUUAAAACACGAAAACUUUCCUGAUUAACUUUGCCAAAUGACUGACCCUCCCUAGGCUACGAACCCUCCAUGCUGUUAAGGCUGUAACUCAUUUUUCCUGAGUUGAGGGUCGCUUCAUUUCAUGCGGGUAUCAGUUUUCAAACCUCAAACAGCUCUGGAGGUUCGGAGAAGCAUCCUGGGGUCCAGAUGCUUGUCUGAACUACUUGAGCCUGCACAACUGGGCCAGCUGUCUUGCCAAAAGGGACACUUGUGAGACAGCAGGCGCUUCCUGGAUCUGCAUGGGCCAGAGUUACUGCAAGAAGUGAUGCUCUUGUGGUGGCUUUGGUGUGACUGCUUCCAUACAGACCCAGGGAGCAAAAAAAAGGUGCAUGAGAGACAACAGCUUGAGUGAGUUGAACCAAGCCUUUUUGCAAGACAGUUUUGGUUCACAUCUCAUUUGAAGGGAUCCCGUUGGUUCCUCUCUCUUCCAGAGCCAAGGGUCCCGGGUAUGUGUGUGCGCGUCAGUGCGGGUGUGCAUGUGUCGAGUGAUCAGAUCCACUUAACCAAAUUCUGCGGAGUUUUGUUGUGUUUGAACCAAGCCAAUGGGAUAUCAUGCACAUUCCAACAUUGCUCAGCCAAAAAUGUCCAGGACCAGAAAAUUAUGUGAAACCAUGUAAAGCAGACUUCAUAGGUGUCAUCCCAAGGUCAAAAUGAAGUUUGAUUUUGAGGUGCUUAAUUUCCACAGUCCCUCUCCAGGGACCUGACUGCCUCAAUGGGUAUUUUCAAUGUCCAUAGACUUUCCUGCCUUUUCUAUGAGUUAUCCUGCCUGAACUACUUGAUUAUAUGGUCCUGAGCUUUGUACAUUUUCCACUGACUUUGUGGAGUGUGCACAACUGAACACCCUUGGCUGGUUUUAUUUCAGUUGUUGCUCCUAGCUGAUUGGAGCUUUACUUGUAGCACCCUGGUUUAUAUUACCAGCUUCUCCAGGAAGGACUGGUAGUUUGUUUUCCUGGGGUAGAGUCACGUGAAUGAAGAAGUGUGUAUGUGCUGUGUCUGUGAAACUUUAGAAGAUUUCAAUCACUGGAGAUUUUUUUUUCCUUAGGUAAUUUUACAUUUGACUCUGACAGAACUACAUUAGAGUUUUUAUUUUUACUAGAAAUAUUAAUAAUUCAAACAACCUUGUACAAAAGGCAAACUCAUUGAAUCACUACAGGUUAUAGGGGUUGAAGCCAAAAGGUCUUUGUAAGCCGACAUCACUUGCCCUAGAUCUGACUGUAUCAGGCAGUUAUUCCUCAUGUGUCAUGUUGGAGUUACAAGAUCACACCAAGCCACUAGAACCUGUCAGUAGAAUAGUGCUACACUUUAUUUGCUAUUGUAGCAAAGCCUUUUGUAGAUUUAUACAAUAAAACUUUGAAAUAUCUGCUUAAAUUGCUUUGU
RNAcentral lists this long non-coding RNA (1878 nucleotides) under Anas platyrhynchos platyrhynchos (common mallard). RNAcentral's name for it is "lncRNA (ENSAPLG00000024071.1)". Lineage: Eukaryota; Metazoa; Chordata; Aves; Anseriformes; Anatidae. The record is from RNAcentral.